Molecule: transfer RNA, 63 nt
Filed under: Rattus norvegicus (Norway rat)
Lineage: Eukaryota; Metazoa; Chordata; Mammalia; Rodentia; Muridae
Rfam family: tRNA
About the family: Transfer RNA (tRNA) molecules are approximately 80 nucleotides in length. Their secondary structure includes four short double-helical elements and three loops (D, anti-codon, and T loops).
Source: Rfam by way of RNAcentral
GGGGAUUUAGCUCAGUGGUAGAGCGCUUGCCUAGCAAGUGCAAGACCCUUGGUUCAGUCCCCA